AUUGAACGCUGGUGGCAUGCUUAACACAUGCAAGUUGAACGGCAGCAUGAUCUAGCUUGCUAGAUUGAUGGCGAGUAGCGGACGGGUGAGUAACGCGUAGGAAUCUACCUCUAAGUGGGGGACAACUUGUGGAAACGCAAGCUAAUACCGCAUAAUACCUUAGGGUUAAAGCUGGCUUUUGCUGGCGCUUAGAGAUGAGCCUGCGUCCGAUUAGUUUGUUGGUGGGGUAAAGGCCUACCAAGACUACGAUCGGUAGCUGUUCUGAGAGGAAGAUCAGCCACACUGGGACUGAGACACGGCCCAGACUCCUACGGGAGGCAGCAGUGGGGAAUAUUGGACAAUGGGCGCAAGCCUGAUCCAGCAAUGCCACGUGUGUGAAGAAGGCCCUAGGGUUGUAAAGCACUUUCAUUAGCGAGGAAGGUAUUUAGGUUAAGAGCUAAGAUACUUGACGUUAACUAAAGAAGAAGCACCGGCUAACUCUG
This 482-nucleotide ribosomal RNA is filed under the name uncultured Legionellales bacterium. Its description in RNAcentral is "bacterial SSU rRNA". It matches the Rfam family "Bacterial small subunit ribosomal RNA", at positions 30 to 505 of the family's 1533-position model. The record is from RNAcentral. Lineage: Bacteria; Pseudomonadati; Pseudomonadota; Gammaproteobacteria; Legionellales.